ACAUUCGAACAACAUAACAUUAAUGCCUCAGAUCCCAUUAGAAUUUCGUACUUAAGCACGCUUGGGAUAGAUUAGCACUAAGAUGAGUGACUUCCCGGGAAGACCUGGUGUUUUACAUGCC
Molecule: non-coding RNA, 121 nt
Organism: Picea glauca (white spruce)
Lineage: Eukaryota; Viridiplantae; Streptophyta; Pinopsida; Pinales; Pinaceae
Source: Rfam